GCGGUAGUAGCUCAGCUGGUUAGAGCACUAGUUUGUGGAACUAGGGGUCGAUGGUUCGAACCCAUCCUACCGUACCA
RNAcentral lists this transfer RNA (77 nucleotides) under Candidatus Pelagibacter sp. RNAcentral describes it as "tRNA-His". It matches the Rfam family "tRNA". From Rfam's summary of the family: Transfer RNA (tRNA) molecules are approximately 80 nucleotides in length. Their secondary structure includes four short double-helical elements and three loops (D, anti-codon, and T loops). Further hydrogen bonds mediate the characteristic L-shaped molecular structure. tRNAs have two regions of fundamental functional importance: the anti-codon, which is responsible for specific mRNA codon recognition, and the 3' end, to which the tRNAs corresponding amino acid is attached (by aminoacyl-tRNA synthetases). tRNAs cope with the degeneracy of the genetic code in two manners: having more than one tRNA (with a specific anti-codon) for a particular amino acid; and 'wobble' base-pairing, i.e. permitting non-standard base-pairing at the 3rd anti-codon position. Lineage: Bacteria; Pseudomonadati; Pseudomonadota; Alphaproteobacteria; Candidatus Pelagibacterales; Candidatus Pelagibacteraceae. The record is from RNAcentral.